Populus nigra (black poplar) is the source of this 1890-nucleotide long non-coding RNA. RefSeq lists it as uncharacterized. The record is from RefSeq and is a predicted model, not a curated record. NCBI's taxonomy places the organism in Eukaryota, Viridiplantae, Streptophyta, Magnoliopsida, Malpighiales, Salicaceae. The transcript has 6 exons.
UUAAGAACACAAAUGGAACGCUAAAUAUUUGUGCUCUAGGAAAUUCUUGGGAAGAAUGAGAAAAUACCUGCACAGAGAAACCAUAAACCUCCAAACUCUGUAUAAAUUUAAUAAUACCACUUGGCAACCACACACUCAAUUUCUUUUCUUAAAAAAAAAUCAGCCCACAUAGGAUAAAAAGACGUAGAAAUCUUGUGAAACUCAAAUGUUCUUGAUUUCCCAGAAACAACUCCAUAGAACCUUAAAAUCCCUGAAGAAUGAACAUACUAUCCUCAAAAUCUGAACAUCAUCACCCGUUAUCAUUUUCUUUCACCGACCUCAAGUCUGGCUGACAAAAUCCCGAAAACAGAAGAAAAAAAUCAAUGAAUUUACGUAGUGGCAACCCAAAACCCAGAAAAUCUUAAGAGAGGACACACCCUUCAACACCGCUAAUUCCAUUCUCAUUCAUAUCCAUUAUCCAUCCACCGCAGAAGCUGGAAAAAAUGAUAAUUUGUAUUUCAAUCCCAGCCAAAGCAAAUGCUUUGUUUUUCUCUGCUACCAAUCCCACGCCAUCUACCUCUGCCUCCCUUUUCACUCACCGGAACCCUUCAGUUCUCUCCAAAAAAUUUUGUGGGUUGCUUUCGAUUUCGAAUUCUUCAGUUCCUCCCUCACCGGGAGCUUUAUGGCGUGGUUGAGGUGGUCAUGGGUUUGGGUGGGAAGCCACUAGCGAGAUUUCCAUCUGGGGACUUUGUUUUAUCGGAUUGUCCCAUCACCCUUUAGGUUCCCCAGCAUGCUACUUCACAGGUAUUCAUAGAGGAAGUUGAAAAUCAUAUGCUCCAAGUGAGUGUGAUAGAUGAAAUCGGGACAAAACUUGAAGCAAUGGCUGUGAGUACAAUUGCACAGCAUGAGUUCAGCUAGUGGCCACUGCUCAUGGAAUCACAAUAGGAAUUUGAUAAUGAAUCCUUCUCUAGAGAUGCUUGUUGGAGGAAUAAAGAGUGUGACAGUAUGGGAUGAAGAAGCAAACUGAAGGGGUGUCCAGAAGAUGGUGAUGGAGAGGAAAGGGCCUUCAGCAUUUAGUUAUGGGGUGGAGAUAAUUUCAAAGACUGAGUUGCGAGUUCAUCGCAGUCUAGAAGCAACAGUGUAUGCUAUUCUCUUAGGUCGUUCCCCAUAUGUGGAAGUUUGCAAGAUGACCUCUCAGGGAGUAGAAGAAACUGUAGAAAAUGAACCUGCCUUGAAACAGAUGCUGAAAAGAAAGAUGAUGUUUUGGUUGAAGAUUUCCACUUGACAGAAGAAAGGAUUUGGUCAUAAUGAGUUCACUUCUGAGUCUCAUCUGGACAUGGGAGAUAAUUCUUUGGAACAUGAAGUACUGCUUCGCCUUUAUAUCUAUAGGUGUGAAAAAUACUGGAUAUGGAACUUGCAUAAAGAGGAUACAAAAUUGUCAGACAAGAUCAAUGCCCUGGAGGUACAGACUUUCAGGAAAUAGCAGCAUCAACUCGAACCAGGGAGUCAUCACUGGCCUUUGAGGAGCUGCAUGAUAUUUUUGUGGGACAUGAGUUUUAUCAAUUGCUGUCAUGAAUGGAUAGGGUUUAGGGAAAAUGGAUGUACACAAUGCAUUUCUAAAUGGUGAAUUAACUGAAAUUGUGUUUAUGGAGCAGCCCCCAAGGUUUAAAGAUUUGUCUAAAGCUAAUCAUGUUUGCAGGCUAAGACUAUGGCCUUAAACAAGCACGGGCUUGGUACACAACACUUAGAAAUGCCAUUCUUCGGUUGGGUUUUCACAGUUCCAAGGCUGUUUGUUCUCUUUUCAUUGACAGCCAAGGAUCUUACUUGGUUUAUGUUGAUGUUGAUGAUCUUGUAAUUAAAGGGAAUAAUUCAUCCUUUGUGGCAUCUGUUAUUCAACAAUUGGGUGCUAUG